UCGUUCCAAUGAGAAUGAAGGCUGAGACAAGCGGUGCCUGAGCCCGUGCCUGUCUUCAGAUCUUCACAGCACAGUUCCUGGGAAGGUGGAGCCACCAGCCUCUCCUUGACAAGCAAAGUGGAUCAGCAAAGGCUGCAGUCACCAGCAUCUUUUCCAACCUUAAUGAACUGUAUCCUCAAAAGAACACUAUCAGACUGGCUCUGCCGACUUCCAGUUCUGGAACAAGAUGGUUAAACUCAUUUUUCCCUGCUCUGCUCCUCUAAAUACAACUAAGUACCUUGGAAACUAUUCAGCAGACAAUGAUAAAGGGCUCUGAAAGCUAGAAGAAAAGGUGUACUUGCAAGAAACCUCAGGACUUGAGUAACAGCAACAUGGGCCUGUUGAGAAGGCCCUCCAAACCUUUGGUUCCAGGGUCUGGCAAGGGGAAUCUGUCAUCAUUCAUUGCAAACUACACCUCCACCCACUGGGCUGAAGACCUGUGCAAGGAUAGACCAAGAACUUCCUCUGGGGUGGCUGUGCUCAUGGAUGCUGAUUUGACAAUUUCCAACCUCCCUCAUUACCAAGAUCCCCUUCCUUCACCUGUGAAACCAAAAUUCCAUCUUCUUCUCUUCCCUCCUUUGUGACAGAGUGGGGAAAGAUGGGGACUGAGGGAAAGGAGAGUAGAAACUCAGUCCCUUGAGAGAUGGGAGCUGAUGGGAAGGAGGUAGAAACUUGGUCCUUUAGCCAGGAGGCUCUGCAGGCAUUCAGGCCUGAUCUACCAUGUAAGGUGAUUUCUUUCUUUUUGGAAAGCUCCCAUUUCAUGGGGUGGACAGGUCCAAGGACUGCUCUGGACCACUUGGUGAUCACAUGGGCCGAAGUAGGGGUAGAGGACCCCAAAUUGAAUGUGUGGAGGGGACUCUGAAGCAGGUGUGAAUGCCAGGAGAGGUGGGAGGAAGGACAAGGGUGGUGCAUCAAGACCACAGAAGCCGGCCCGGCCAGCCUUCCCACAAAGUUACUUGAACUGAGCUCUCCAUAAGUACACAUGCGCACACACCCAAGAAUAAACUGGACAAAUGGCAGCAGAAAGAGAAAGAACAGAAAAGAGAGCUGAUGAAUACAUCCAUAAUCAGCACUAACACAGCCCUGGAAAGAAAAGCAAAAAGAAAAGGCAAGCGCUGUGGUGUGCAGCUCUUAUUGUCUAAUAAAAGAAAAUAUACCAA
Molecule: long non-coding RNA, 1199 nt
Organism: Homo sapiens (human)
Lineage: Eukaryota; Metazoa; Chordata; Mammalia; Primates; Hominidae
Gene: CYTOR
Product: cytoskeleton regulator RNA
Source: Ensembl